GACGAACGCUGGCGGCGUGCUUAACACAUGCAAGUCGAACGAAGUGGCGAACGGGUGAGUAAUACGUGAGUAAACUGCCCUACUUUUUGGGACAAACCUUGGAAACGGGGUAUAAUAACGAAUACAGGGGGAUGGGCGCGCGGCCUAGCAGCUUGGUGAGGGGGUGAUGGCCUACCAAGGCGGUGACGGGUAGCCGGCCUGGGAGGGUGACCGUGUGCAUGAGGCCGGGCCUAGGGCCCAGCCGCCUGCAGGAGGCAGCAGUGUGGGAUAUUGCACAAUGGGCGGAAGCAGUAAUCAGCGACGCCGCAUGGGGGAGUACGGCUUUCGGGGUGUAAACCUCUUUCGCUAUCGAACCGGUAGGUGGCGAAAAAGCGCCGGCUAACUACGUGCCAGCAGCCGCGGUAAUAC
This 408-nucleotide ribosomal RNA is filed under the name uncultured bacterium. RNAcentral describes it as "partial 16S ribosomal RNA". It matches the Rfam family "Bacterial small subunit ribosomal RNA", at positions 28 to 526 of the family's 1533-position model. The record is from RNAcentral.